GUGUGUGUAAUUUAAAAAAAAUAUCAAGUUGUGACCCUGAAAAUAGCUGCCACUCGCACACC
This 62-nucleotide transfer RNA is filed under the name Gloydius brevicauda (short-tailed mamushi). RNAcentral describes it as "tRNA-His". The record is from RNAcentral. Lineage: Eukaryota; Metazoa; Chordata; Lepidosauria; Squamata; Viperidae.